Molecule: transfer RNA, 84 nt
Filed under: Phycisphaerae bacterium
Lineage: Bacteria; Pseudomonadati; Planctomycetota; Phycisphaerae
Also listed under: 1 other name
Description: tRNA-Leu
Rfam family: tRNA
About the family: Transfer RNA (tRNA) molecules are approximately 80 nucleotides in length. Their secondary structure includes four short double-helical elements and three loops (D, anti-codon, and T loops).
Source: RNAcentral
GCGGAUGUGGCGGAAUUGGCAGACGCGCAGGCUUCAGGUGCCUGUGGGGGCAACCCCGUGGAGGUUCAAAUCCUCUCAUCCGCA